This 449-nucleotide ribosomal RNA is filed under the name uncultured bacterium. Its description in RNAcentral is "partial 16S ribosomal RNA". It matches the Rfam family "Bacterial small subunit ribosomal RNA", at positions 29 to 523 of the family's 1533-position model. The record is from RNAcentral.
AACGAACGCUGGCGGCAGGCCUAACACAUGCAAGUCGAACGCUCUAGCAGUAGAGAGUGGCGCACGGGUGCGUAACGCGUGGGAAUAUGCCCUUGACUACGGAACAACGUCGGGAAACUGACGCUAAUACCGUAUAAUGUCUUCGGACCAAGGAUUUAUCGGACAAGGAUUAGCCCGCGUCUGAUUAGCUAGUUGGUGAGGUAACGGCUCACCAAGGCGACGAUCAGUAGCUGGUCUGAGAGGAUGAUCAGCCACACUGGGACUGAGACACGGCCCAGACUCCUACGGGAGGCAGCAGUGAGGAAUAUUGGACAAUGGAGGCAACUCUGAUCCAGCCAUGCCGCGUGAGUGACGAGGGCCUUCGGGUUGUAAAGCUCUUUCAGAUGCGAAGAUAAUGACGGUAACAUCAGAAGAAGCCCCGGCUAAAUUCGUGCCAGCCGCCGCGGUAA